This 440-nucleotide ribosomal RNA is filed under the name uncultured Acidovorax sp. Its description in RNAcentral is "bacterial SSU rRNA". It matches the Rfam family "Bacterial small subunit ribosomal RNA", at positions 358 to 790 of the family's 1533-position model. The record is from RNAcentral. Lineage: Bacteria; Pseudomonadati; Pseudomonadota; Betaproteobacteria; Burkholderiales; Comamonadaceae.
GGAAUUUUGGACAAUGGGCGAAAGCCUGAUCCAGCAAUGCCGCGUGCAGGAUGAAGGCCUUCGGGUUGUAAACUGCUUUUGUACGGAACGAAAAGUCUCGGGAUAAUACCCUGGGACCAUGACGGUACCGUAAGAAUAAGCACCGGCUAACUACGUGCCAGCAGCCGCGGUAAUACGUAGGGUGCAAGCGUUAAUCGGAAUUACUGGGCGUAAAGCGUGCGCAGGCGGUUAUAUAAGACAGAUGUGAAAUCCCCGGGCUCAACCUGGGAACUGCAUUUGUGACUGUAUAGCUAGAGUACGGUAGAGGGGGAUGGAAUUCCGCGUGUAGCAGUGAAAUGCGUAGAUAUGCGGAGGAACACCGAUGGCGAAGGCAAUCCCCUGGACCUGUACUGACGCUCAUGCACGAAAGCGUGGGGAGCAAACAGGAUUAGAUACCCGGG